This is a long non-coding RNA of Apus apus (common swift), 2836 nucleotides long. RefSeq lists it as uncharacterized. The transcript has 3 exons. The record is from RefSeq and is a predicted model, not a curated record. Lineage: Eukaryota; Metazoa; Chordata; Aves; Apodiformes; Apodidae.
AACAACGUUGGAAGUAGCCAUCCAGGCUUGAUCUCAGGUUGGCCCAUACAAGGAGUGACACUGCUGACCUGCCCAGGCACAGGAUCUCAGCCAGGCCUCAGGACUGAUCUUGCUCUGAGUAAGCCCAGAGACCCCCUCAACUUUAACACCAGGAUGCCAGACAUCUGUUCUACAUGGCUCUCCACCUUGGCCGCAGUUCAAUUUCCAAUGACUUCCAUGAACUCCAUUGUGAAAUCCAAGUGCAAGCCUCUCUUUGCACCAGGACCAGCCCAUGACUCCUGAACACAGACUUGCAGUUUACAGAUGCCCUCACCAGCCUCCCCUGAACCAAAUGGCUUUGGGAAGCACCCACCACCCUGAGGAAAGUACACCUCAUCCUCUUGCUUGUCCUUCUCCUGCUGAUUGACAGUCUCAAGCCCUAAAAGCCAUGCUGUAGUAGUUGAAAAACAAAGAAAAUUUAGACAAAUACCUUUAUCACUCUAAAAUCAGGACAACAGUGAUGCCUACUUUGCCUGCUGUGGUCUUUGCUGGUUGCUAAAUGGCCAAAAUGAUCCUUGGUGGUUCAAGGGGGAAGAGAGCAGGACCUGAAACAAGAACUUGACAUCUGACAUUUGCCAGUCCUGUUCAUGAAGCAGCUGGCCCAUAGGCAGGAGCUCCUGCCUGAGCACGCCUGCUGCUCAGCACAUCUCUGCAGCAAACCCUUCUGGCUUGACAGCUGUAAUGAUAAAUACUGUAACUGGGCUGACAUUUUGGCCUGGCAGGGCCUUUCCUAAGUCUCAGCUGGGAGUGAUUGCUUUAAUGAAGAAUGCUAAUAGAUUAAUAGUUUGCCCUGGAGUUGUUACUUCUAGUGUAGAAGGUGCCGAGUUGUUUUUAAUGGUGGUUGUUUUCUUUUAAUAACAUAUGUGGAGCUUUCUGGGGGAUGUGACAGUGCUCCUCACCUAAAAGGUGGGGGCAGACUCUGGAAAACUUGUGGUGUCCUUGUCACUUGCAUUAUUCUUUGUGACCGUGCAAGGUGUGAUGCAACCAGGGGAAACAGGAGCCAAAGAGGGAAGUUCAGUUCUAGUCCCUGUUAUGGGUUUGCUGAGAAAGGAGUUUGAAGCGUACCCCAAAAGAGACAAGGGUUUACAUAUGCAGACCCAGGUUUAUGCAGAUGGGAUCAUCAACUCCACAGGAAAUGUUUCUCAAGAUGUUUUUCCCAUUGAAGCAAAGGAAGAAAUGGUCAUUGAUGCAGGGAGGAGGCAUCAGCCCUUGGUGAGUUGCAUUAGUCUGACUGAAAGAUAUGGUGCAUCAGCUUAUGGGGCUUUGCAACCAGACCAUCUGUUGAAUGAGCAGGGAACGUGGUUGAAGCAGUAUAAAGCAGGCCAACCCAAUGUUUUUUUUUGUCUUUUGUGUUGCCUGUGGUUUUAGAAAACAUUUUGGAGUAGCAGAACAGAUGAGGGAGACAGAGAUGUAACUACUGCUGGGUAUGCUCAGCCUUCAGCUCCUGCUCUUCUGCCCACAGAAUGAGGGAAGACUUGAACAGAACUAAAAGACAGCCCAUGACUACCAGUUGCAGAAAUUACACAGAUGUGGAUGCAAAGUACCACAACACCCCUGGCCACUGCCAGGUGCCUACUUCUCUGCCUACAUUACAGAAUAAACCUCAGUUGACACUGUUUACCUUGUCACAUCUCUUGUAUGAGAUACCUUAUCUCACAGCAUCUGACAAAACAUCCCAGGCACUCAAGGUAAAUCAGGAGAAGAAAUGUAGCAUGGUCUUUCCAGGUUUGGGCAAAUGAGUACGGAAACAGGCUAUUUGGGGUAGAAGUAAAUGGAAGUUAUGAUCUUCCCCUUUGAUUUGAAUCUUCCAUCACACCUGAUGUGUGGUCUGGUAGGAUUAAGUUAUGCAUCUGUCUUUCAAAGAGCAAGAUCCUACAAGCUGCUAUCCAAACUUUAGCUGUUGUCUGCUAAUCAAGUUGACAAAAAUUAAUCUCUAACAUCAGCUGUGAGGCAGCCGGUAACUUGAUUCCUAUCACUGAGGUUUCAGGGUAGUGCAGGGUAAUGAGACUGUCCUUGUAACUUCAGUUAGUGAAAAAUGGUAGUGCCUUAUUAUUUGUUGAAUCACUCUUGAUAUUUGAUACUGUUUAUCAUCAAAUGCUGCUAACCUGUGUGGAGAAGCCAUGUCUAUCAGUGGAAGCUCCAUGAAAUCGUUCUGUUCCUUCUCCUGAGGUGGAGCUGGAGGAGGCUCGAGCAGCAGUUGUUUUCCUGUGUCCAAACUCCUCAUCUGUGGCAGCUGACAAGGCUUCUUCCAUACACAUGUGAAACGACUGGAGAGCUGGGGAGAUCACAUGACCACAGUAAAAGCAGUAGCUUAUGAGACUCCUUUUCACUAUUCCUUGGUGGAGAAGGCAAGCAAGGGCUCUCAACAGUGCAGCUGGCACCAGGCAGCUCUCCUCUCAUCUGCCCAAACGGUACAGAGGUUGGACCAUUACUGGCAAGAUCAUCACUCUUGUUCAGUUGUGCUACAACAUUGAACUCACAGAUCAUGCCAUCACUAUGAGUAUUAUGCCUUUUUCUACAGAAAUUUUGGCUGCAUCCUCAUGCAGACUGACUAUAGGUGCAUAACUGAUCAGCGUGGGCUUCCUGUGCAGCUAAAAUUGUAGACUAGCCAACCUUAAGGGAGCUUUUUCUUUUUUUUUUUUUUCCCCAGAGUAAAACUGAUCAUCUAAAGCCCAUCUAGAAUACUAGUAGUUAACAUUGAUCUCAGCUGUGGCUGUGGAGCCUCAUAAUUUUAAGAAAUUGGGCCUUGCGUUACCUGUUAGAGACCACACAGCUAGCCAGUGAUGAGUGUUGUACU